CUGGUGAGGAUGUAACACCUCCCCCCUUAGAAUUCGAGCGUCCUCGCUUGAAGUAAAGCGGGAGCUGUCGUACCGACAUGAAUAUUCUGGAACUAUCUUAUGGAUAUUCGGGCUUAAAAUAUAACUUAUGAUUAACGAGAAUAAUAUGAAUGAUGAGUUUUAAUUACAUGAUUAUGGACUAAUGGAUAGUAUUCUAGGUUUGGUUACAUGAUUCAGUAUAGUGUGGUGUAACAAUUUUGAUACAGAUGUAAUUUUGAAGAGUAGUUAACGAUUACAUUUUUGGGGGUAUUUAUCGCGUACAAAUAAGCUAUACCAUUGUUAUUUGUUACAAUGGCUUCACCAGCAAAAAUACCUUUGUGAAGAUCUAAUUGAGGUACAUAACCAUUUUCAACAUUUGGGAUUCCUACUCGAACGAACAUGAUAGUCUUCCGUCUGGCCGGCAGCAGAAUACUUUCUUUAUCCGAGAAAGGAAUUUCAACAUCAUCGAUG
RNAcentral lists this unclassified non-coding RNA (489 nucleotides) under Athalia rosae (coleseed sawfly). Its description in RNAcentral is "misc RNA ENSAEAG00005011111.1". The record is from RNAcentral. Lineage: Eukaryota; Metazoa; Arthropoda; Insecta; Hymenoptera; Athaliidae.